Molecule: long non-coding RNA, 1959 nt
Organism: Strigops habroptila (Kakapo)
Lineage: Eukaryota; Metazoa; Chordata; Aves; Psittaciformes; Psittacidae
Source: Ensembl
UGCUGUUGAAAUGGAAAAUAAUUUGUUUAAAUAUUAACUAAAAUGCCGAGUUGUUACUCAGCAUUCCUGCCACUGCCACUGCACUUUUCUCUGUAGCAUUAAAGUAGAAAAAUGAAUGCAGGGCAGGAAAGCAUGUCACCACUUGCAAGUGCUCUGUCUACCUUUAACAUAAAAAAAGCUCAUCUCCUGAAGCCCAACACCCACUUGUCCCAGUUUUCUGGUUUGCACAUGGGUAAAGUAAUUCACUGUUGACUGUAUGACACUAAUCUGUUCCUCUUCUUUAUGUUAGACAAUGAGAAGCUCAACAGUGUUCCAGUAGGAGAUCCUUAUAAACUGAGGAGUGUAUCACUUCCUGGUCGAUGGCGCUCUGAGCCCCAGUCUGGCAGCAACAAGAAGCUGUUGUCAGUAGGUAGUUACUCACAGUAGUGUGCAAGAGGAGCUGGGGUGGGUGUGCUGGGUUCAAUGUAGUGGCUGUUAAAAACACAGCUCUAAACCCUCCUGCAGCUCAGGCUGGGCAUGCCCCAGUGUCGAUCCUGUGAGAAAUUGGAUGUUGUGCUUUUUUUCCCCAUUGGUACACCUUGUUUUAAGCAAAGCUCUCUGUAGAAGUCAGUGAAGAGCUCUGCUGAAAAGUCUUCUGCCAUAGUACUCUUCCUGGUGAAUUAGCCAAUUUAAAGAAAAAUGUUUCAUUAAACUCCUCUUACUAAGAAGAAUUAAUAAACUCUUCUUAAUAAGAAGUUAUUAUUAAUAACAUAAUAAUUUUAAGUAUUUCAGUUGCCAGGCAAAGAAAAAAAAUGAGAGAACAACCUGUUGGUAAGUAAUAGAUAUACUAGUCCCUUUGUAAUAAUUAAUGUAACUGUAAUGUGCAGUUUUUCAUCUCAUUUUUUUUCUGACUGCAUCAACUCUAUGAAAACCCCUUUACCUCUUCGUGCAAACCUUGGCUAAUUCUUUCCACAUAAGUGAAAAAUAUCCCAUGAGAAAGCCUCUCUGGCACAAGGAUGUAACCACGAACAGAAAUGCAGUAUAACGUGUCUUCAACCUUGGCUUUUUUAAGAGCUCAUUGACUUUAAUAAACUCCAAGUUUAAAAAUCUGUUGUUUUCAUUCAUAUCAAGGUGCUGUGCCUGGGUGUGCUUUUCAAUAAUCAUUACUAUGUUGAUUUUAAUCAUUCUAUUCUAUAAAAGUUAAAACUAGUAUUUUAGGUAUGAAUUGAUUACGUAAUUUUGCUGUGCCUACCCAAAGGGCGCAGGCUAGGCUUUUCUUUGCAUGCUGACAUUGUUCUUCUGGCUUUUCAGUCAACGAAUAUCCACAGUUUCUCUUGCAAUUAUUCAAACAAGAUGAAAUAAUCUGUUUAAAUACUGAUGGAAAAGCACAGCCCUCUGUCACCCUGCUGUCAGAUCCGGAGCAAGGUGAGUGAGCCCCAUUACCCUUGAUAUCAAGGACAAGGAGAGUCACUUUAGUCUAUGAGAGUAGUUGGUGUCUCUGGGAAUCACCCCCUUUUGUGAAGGACUAUUUCAUACCUGCUGCCUUGCAGUGACCAAAGAGGCUGUGGUUAGUUUUUCCUUUCUAUUAGGCAAUAUUAACUUCCACUGUGCAACAGCUGAGCGCACUUCUCAUAGGUAUGGUUGGCCGUCACCUCCUUCUCCUGGUGUCACAGCCAUGGUCUUUAGGGUUAUCUGCUGCCCAGCCCUUGGAGCCUUUUGAGGAUUUAGAGACCUUAAGCCCCGUGGUCCCUGCCUGCUAAUAGAAAGGUGCACGCUCUUAACACACUGCAGUUUUCCUGUGGUCCUGUACUCAGAAGGGCCAUGGACUCUGGUGACCCCACCACAGCCUUGGGGCACAUGGAGCUGAAGCCUGUGGUACUGUGCCUCCCAGAACUAGGUUUGAGACCCGGAACUUGUUUCAGCAACAAAGCUGAAGCAGCUUUAUCGAGAUCACUUGUACCUUAAAAGCACAGUCACUUG